This 972-nucleotide ribosomal RNA is filed under the name Triticum aestivum (bread wheat). Its description in RNAcentral is "partial small subunit ribosomal RNA". The record is from RNAcentral. Lineage: Eukaryota; Viridiplantae; Streptophyta; Magnoliopsida; Poales; Poaceae.
AUGGGCCUGCGUGCCGAACGACACGUAGAUCACCGACUCCGACCGCUCCGCCAUCUCGUCGAGCCAGGCGAGGCACCCCUCGGGGUCCUGCUCCCCCUCGCGCUCCGGCACGUCGCCGGCGGCGAGAAACAGAGGGCCCACCAGCCAGGCCCGCGCGUCCGGCUGGUAGAACGAUAUGAAGGCCGAUACGUAGUCCUCGUCCAACAUGGCGAAGCUGUUGACCAGGACGCCCCAGCUGCGCAUGUCGGACUCGCCGAUGUCAUCGAUAAGGAACCGAGUCACUGGGUCCUCGGCGUCACCGAUCUUGGCGAUCGUGUCCGGGACAUCCGCUGCCGUGAUCCUUACGUGUUCCGGCAUACGGGACAAGUGGAAACUGGCGCCGGACGGCGGCGGGCUCGUGAUGAGCGAUUUGCAGGCGGCCAUCGAGAAGCAGGACAUGCCGUGGAACACGAUGCGGCGGACGCCGGCGUCGGCCGCGACGCGGUGCGUGAACCCGAGGAAGAAGUCGGAGACGAGCACGAGUGGUGGGGCCGAGAGCGACGCCAUGAACUCCGCGAAGGGCUCCCGCAGGAGCGCCGUGGCGCGCAGGAACGUCGGGUACAGGUCCGGGCCAGGCAGGGUGUCCGUGGACUCCACGCCGGAUGGCAGCGGCGGCAGCGACGGGAACGGGAGAACGGCGAGCCGCACCGACGCCGGGAGGCGGCUGCGGGCGAAGGCGAGGUUGGCGGGCGUGACGACCACGGUGAUGCGGAGGUUCUUUUGGUGCUCGGUGAGCGCCGUGGCGAAGUGAAGCAGUGGGAGGGUGUGGCCCUUGGCCAUGAACGGAAACACGACCACGUGGUCGCGGCCGGCAUGGUUGCCCGCGCCGCUCGCGGCAUGGGUGGGCGCAGCAGCACCGUUGGUGGUGGUGGUGGUGAUGGCCAUGGCAGGGCGUUGCCGUGUAUGGUUUGCAAGUUGGGUUCUGACUUGUGA